Molecule: long non-coding RNA, 5069 nt
Organism: Hypanus sabinus (Atlantic stingray)
Lineage: Eukaryota; Metazoa; Chordata; Chondrichthyes; Myliobatiformes; Dasyatidae
Exons: 3
Source: RefSeq, a predicted model, not a curated record
GUUCUCAAACAUCACAACAAACCGGACAGUGCCUCCCAGAGAUGAAACAUGAAAAUGACAACGUUUGAUGAAAAAUGGGCACUUAAAAAUGUACAAAUACUCCAAACUGGUUCACAUCACUAUUUCCCACCUGGGCAAAAUUGGAUAUUUGGUCUCCUGUUGGGGAUUAAGGAAAUCUCUACCAAUAUUCAAAACAACAACGUUCAGCAUUAACAACACAUACAAAAUGCGGGAGGAAUUCAGCAAGUCAGGCAGCAUCUACGGAGGAGAAUAAACAGUCAAUGUUUCGGACUGAGACCCUUCGCCAGGACCGGAGAUGCCAGAAAGUGACAGUAUUUGCUGGAGGUGCUGCCUCAAGGAGACAACGUCCCUCAUAAGAGAUUCCCACCAUCUGGGCCAUGCCAUCUUUUAGAAGCUACCAUCACGCAGGAGGUACAGAAGCCUGACACCCAAGUUCAAGAACAGUUGUUUCCCUUCUACCAUUUGGUUCUUGAACCAACCGAUAAAACCCCAAUCACCACAGUUUAACAGCACCACCAGCCACUUGACAACUUUGCAGUAAAAUGGACUUUUUUUUUGUUCAAUUGUAAUUUAAAAAACAUAUAAUUGAAGGUGGCACCAGCGAAUAAUGCCACCAAAGGCCUUCAGAUAACGAACACUGAGCUGAACUGUAUUGAAAUAUAUUUUGUGAUUUUUGUGUUUUAUAUUCUGGGUUUUCCUUGUUCUUGUUACCAUUUGCACAAUUUUGAUUUUGCACCUGGGAGGAGGGAAGUGGGUUUGAUGUUUCUCUUUGGACAGUUUGGUUCCAUUGUUCUUCGUUUUGUACCUGCCUGUGGGGAAGAUGAAUCUUGGGGUUGUAUAUGACAUACAUACUUAGAUAAUAAAUGUACUUUGAAUCUUUGAAUUAAUUUAAGUUUAUCUUGUGAAUGCUGCUCAGAUGAUGCUAUGGGUAACUUUUUUGUUCCACCUGUGCAUAGACGUAUUUGUGACAAUGAACUCAACUUUAACUCGGUGUCCCCAGCCCUAAGUGGCCCUCAGCAGAUUUCAAAUUUCCUGAUUCAUCCAAAGCUUCUGCUUGGGGAAGACUCUAAAUGCUUAUGACGGUACACACUUGUCCAUGCGAAUCCUUAUGAAGUUGGUGAUGACUGUGACAAAUCCAUUUAAGUCCCCUGACAAAUCCUUGAAUAUUGUGAACAUUUACAAGUGGUAGUGUAAUGGUUAGCCCAAUGCUUUAUAGUACCAGUGACUCAACUGUCUGUAAGGAGUUUGUACAUUCUCUGCAUGACCAUAUGGGUUUCCUCUGGGUGCUCCAGUUUCCUCCCACGGUCCAAAGAUGUACAGGUUGCUAGGUUAAUUGGUCACUGUAAAUUGUUCUGUGAUUAGGCUAGGAUUAAAUUGGGGAUUGCUGGUGGCAUGGCUCAAAGGGGCAGAAGAACCUAUUCUGUGCUGGAUCUCAAUAAUUAAAUAAAUAAAUUGGGGGAAUUAAUAAAGGAAGCAGAGAAUGGUGUGAAAAGCAACAAAAGUUUUAGAUUAGAGGAGGCAAAAAAGCCAUUCUGUUUCUUGAACAAGAGACCUAAAUCAAGUCCUCUUUGCAAGUUAAAAGAAAGAUCAGUCAUAAUCCAAGGAAGCUGUGUGGAGCGAGACAUGAUGGAAAUAUGUCAUUGUCUAUUGAUAGCUAAUAGAAUCUCAUCUUCACUUUAUUCAAGCAUUUUUCAGCAAUCGGAUAUUGCUGGCAAAUCCAGUAUUUAAUCUUUCUCCGUGAUUGGCCUUAAGGUGAUGGUAAGAUUUCACCCACAAUGUUGUUGGAGAAGGAGUUCCAGACACUAGACACGAUGAUGAAUGGCAAGGUAUUUCCAGGUCAGAAUGGUGUAUGAAUGCCCUGAUGAUGUUCCCAUGUGUCUUCUGCUUUUGUCAUGUCCAGUGGUGGUAUAGGGGACUCAGGAGGUGCUGUUGAAGCAACUUGGGUAAGAACUCCAUUGUUAAUUAUUAACCAGAUGACUGACAGACCAGCACGAGUCUGAUUAUAGAACCAUAUGGUGUGGAAAUGAACCAUCCAUGCCAAUCAGUGGGCACCUUUUGGUAUUAACCCUAUUUGUCAGCACAUUAUCCACAGAAUCAAAGUCAUCUGGACACUACUUGAAUGCUGUCAGUGACCCAGCUUCAACUACUCCCUCCAGCAGUGCAUUUCAGGUACUUGCCACUCUCAGAGUGAAGUAAAUCACUCUUACAUCCCCUCUAAAUCUCUGCCCCCUUGUGAUCUUUAGUUGUUUUCUACAUCUGGUAUGCAGAAAAGUUUUCCUACCAGGCCUAUCCCUGCCCAAGCACAACUUUAUACCUAAAUGAUCUCCCUCCUGUGCUUCAGGAUGGGAAGACCUGGCUUCUCCUGUCUCUCCCCAUAAUGCAACUGCUCCAUCUUGGGCAACAUCCUGGUGAAUCUGCACUGCACCAUCCCAUCCUUCCUGAUGAAGGGUCUCUGCCCGAAACAUUAGCUGUACAUAUUCCCCCAUUGCCGCUACCAGAUCAACUGAGUUCCUACUAUGUGGUGUUUCCCACUCUUUGCUGAACACACAAAACUCCAGCUGAGGUCUGGCCAAGGUUUAUUGUGUUAGAACAUAACCUGUCUACUUCUCUAUCUAGUGCCCCAACUACUGAACACCAAUUUCCCUUGUGCCUUCCUAACCAUGCUAUCUAUUUGUGUUGCCACCUUCAAAGUUCUAUGGGCCUGUACUCUGAGUUGCCACGGUAUUCUCCAAGUCUUUGCAAUCCAUUGUGUUUAUUGAAGCCUCAUUACAACUCCCACAAUGCACGACCUUGCAUUUGUCUGAAUUAAAUGCCAUCUGCCAUCUUUCAGCCCAUCUCACUAAAACUGCAAUAAUUAUCGGUAGCUUAAGACUCCCACAUUACCAUAAACUACACCAAUGUUUAAAUCAUCUAUUAAUUUGCUGAUUGUGUCUCCUCAUCUCUUGCUCACGUAUCACGAACUGUAUGCUAAUGAUAAAAAAUAGAUCUCUACCAUCACCCUCUGUCUCCUUACUGCAGGGCCAAUUGUGGCUCAAGUUUGCCAACUUGCCCUGGAUCCCAUGGGCUCUAACCCUCUGAGCUAGCCUUCCUUGUGACACCUUAUCAAAGAUGAGUGUAUUUAAUAUUUCAGUAGUCUUGUAUAUAUGUUGUUUGAAGCAUUCUUGUCCAUUUAAAUAAUUAAUUGCAGGUUAUAUGUAAAAAUACAUGAAUUACAUAUGUCGUCAUGCUACCAUGUGCUAUAUGAGCACCUCACUUAAAGUAAACAUGAAGUUAGAUCCACACUCCUGGAUUCCCAUGUCUUCCUUUGAAUUAGUCUAAUGUUUUAGAGUUAUAAAACAUAAUAAAAGGUUUCGCCAAAGAAUGGCAGCAGAUUUCAACUCCAAAGUCUGGAAUGCCCCAAGCUGUAAUAGCAUCACUCUAUGAUUUACUGCCCUGCCCACAUCAAUACACUAUUACCUCUUCAAAGAAUGCAAUCUAAUCGAUCAGACAGGACCUGCCCUUGGCAAAACCCUGUUGGCUAUCUCUGAUUAGUCCCUAUCUUUACAAAGAUCAUAGAUCUUCCCUGUUGCUGUUGGGCUCACACGUCUAUAGUUGCCAAGGUUUUCCCUGCUGCCUGCUGUGAAGAAGGGAAAUGUUUGCUGUCCUCCAGUCACCUUGUGUCAAGGAAAUGCUGAAUAAUUUCAGCACGAGCCACAGCAAUCUCCCCCUUUGCCUCCCGCAGCCCUAGGAUGUAUAUCACAUCCAUACAACUGAUUUCAUGAGAAUGACUGUAAGAUACAGGAGCAGAAUUAGGCAUUUGGCUCAUUGAGUCUGCCUGCCAUUUCUUCAUGCCUGUUGCAUUUUCCCCUCUCAGCCCCAAUCUCCUGCCUUUGCCCUGUAUCCCUUCAUGCCCUGACUAAUCAAGAAUCUAUCAACCUCUGCCUUAAAUAUACCCAAUGAUUUGGCUUCCAGAACCGCCUGUGGCAUCGAAUUCCAUGGAUUCCCCACUCUCUGGCUAAAGAAAUACCUCCUCACCUCCAUUCUAAAAGUACGUCCCUCCAUUCUGAGGCUGUGUCCUCUGGUGUUACUCUCCCAUCAUGGGAAACAUCCCACCCACGUACACUCUAUUGAAGCCUUUCAGAAUGAGUAGGAAAACUCUAGGAAUCAAUCAGUUUUGCUUUCAAUUGACAUUUAAUUCUAUUUUUAUUGAAGAAUUGCACAUGCUUAAGUGGUUUGAUUCCGUGUUAGCUGAAUUCUGAAGUACUUUACUCUUCUACAGAUGUGAUUCUGUUUUAUUUGGACUGGUAGCUAAGUAUUUAAAUUAAAAACAACAAAAACAUUUUUAAAAAGCCAUAUGCACAGCUUCAAGCCUGUAUUGUUGCAAAUGCUAUUGACCUUUCAUAAAUUGGUAACUUGAAGUAGUCCAAGCUAUGACUGUGCAGUUUUGUAUUCAUGACCUAAUGAGAGUCAUAUUACUAAAUGAGUAUACCAGCCAGAACUUUCUAAAACAGAGAAUAUCCUAUGAGCUAUAAUUGGAGCAUGGUGAACAUGCUUUUGUUAUUCAACAGAAAAAGAGAUUUCAUAGAGCAGUGGUUAGUAUUUCCCACCUGCAGCUCAUAAGGCCAGAAAGAGGAAGUGAGGUGGAAGAGAAAGCCUUUAUGUGAAAUGGAGACGCUAAGGCCUUCUACUUAAGUUCAUUCUGAAGUAAAGAAUCUUUUGGUUGUUUAGAUGUGGAUGGUGGUCAGAUGUGCUGCUCCAAUCUUGAAAUAAAAUGUGGAUUUUAUAGGACACGGAUUUCCAUAAGAUUAAAAUUCCAGUAGAUCGGAUUUUCAUUACAUGGAUAUCAAUACUGGUAAAAGCUUUCCUUGGGCCUCAAAGGACAAAACUUGACAAUGAAAGUAGUUUAAAUGUUGAAGCUUUGAGAAUGAAAAUCCUUUGAUGGAUACAGUAAUUCUAUUGUGUGAUCAGUUGGGGGAAUGAUUUAACUGCUGACUAAAUUUCUUUAUUCUUAACUCUGCACAUUGGGUGUUUGAUGGUCUUUGUUUUGCAUUGUUUGGAUUUCUUUGUUU